Molecule: ribosomal RNA, 468 nt
Filed under: uncultured bacterium
Lineage: Bacteria
Description: partial 16S ribosomal RNA
Rfam family: Bacterial small subunit ribosomal RNA
Source: RNAcentral
GACGAACGCUGGCGGCGUGCUUAACACAUGCAAGUCGAACGGAAAGGCCCUGCUUUUGUGGGGUGCUCGAGUGGCGAACGGGUGAGUAACACGUGAGUAACCUGCCCUUGACUUUGGGAUAACUUCAGGAAACUGGGGCUAAUACCGGAUAGGAGCUCCUGCUGCAUAGUGGGGGUUGGAAAGUUUCGGCGGUUGGGGAUGGACUCGCGGCUUAUCAGCUUGUUGGUGGGGUAGUGGCUUACCAAGGCUUUGACGGGUAGCCGGCCUGAGAGGGUGACCGGCCACAUUGGGACUGAGAUACGGCCCAGACUCCUACGGGAGGCAGCAGUGGGGAAUAUUGCACAAUGGGCGGAAGCCUGAUGCAGCAACGCCGCGUGCGGGAUGACGGCCUUCGGGUUGUAAACCGCUUUCGCCUGUGACGAAACGUGAGUGACGGUAAUGGGUAAAGAAGCACCGGCUAACUACGUG